GCCGCAGUGUCUACACCCGCAAAAACGCCCGCUUUGACCUAGAGCCCUCCGCAUAUCCUUCCCCUGGCUGGGGCAGCCAAGGCGUGGAGGACAGCUCCGAGGCCAGAUGUUUACUGCGCAGAUGCCCGACUUUACACCAGGGUCCGGGCUGUGCCGGGCGCUGGGGGAAGCGCCCACCUUCCAGAGAGCGAAAUCAUGGAGCCUUCCAAGACCUUCAUGAGAAACCUGCCAAUCACACCAGGCUACAGCGGCUUCGUGCCGUUCCUUAGCUGCCAAGGAACAUCCAGGGAGGAUGACAUGAACCACUGUGUGAAAACCUUCCAGGAGAAAACACAGCGCUAUAAAGACCAGCUGCGGGAAUUUUGCUACGCAGUGGCCACUGCCCCGAAACUGAAGCCUGUCAACUCCGAGGAGACGGUCCUGCGGGCCCUGCAUCAGUACAGUCGGCAGUACCACCCCCUGAUCCUGGGUAGCAGCGCCCUGAAACCAUUUCCCCUCAUCCCUGGUCACCCGUGCAGAUUCUCAUAGGCCAGCUGAGCUGCCCUAGAGCACCCAGAAUCCCGCACAGUUCCAAAUUCCAGGGGUCAGCGCCAAAUGCAAAGGCUCCAUUUCUUAAAAUGAGAAAGAUACAUUUCUUUUUCCUUUUUUUCUUUUUCUUUUUUUUUUGGAGACAGAGUCUCAUGCUGUUGCCCAGGCUAGAGUGCAGUGGUGCAAUCUUGGCUCACUGCAACCUCUGCCUCCUGGGUUCAAGCGAUUCUCCUGCCUCAGCGUCAGCCAAGUAGCUGGGACUACAGGUGCAUGCCACCAUGCCCGGCUGAUUUUUGUAUUUUUAGUAGAGAUGGGGUUUCACCAUGUUGCCAAGGGUGGUCUCGAAUUCCUGACCUCAGGUGAUCUGCCCGCCUCGGCCUCCCAAAGUGCUGGGAUUACAGGCAUGAGCCACAGAGGCUGGCCAGAAAGAAACAUUUCUAGGGGAGGAAACACAGUCCUGGUUAGGGAAGAGGGUGCUGGUCUGAGAACUAGGAGACCCUAGGCAAGUCACAAGUUUUCAGGCCUCAGCUUCUGGAUCAGUGGAAAACAUUUUUUAGUUGCUUUCUCUGUGCCACGGUGUCUUUUUACAGAAUGCAAAUAUGUAAAGAAACCUCUCCAGGAGCCCCCAAUCCCUGGCUGGGCAGGCUACCUGCCGAGAGCCAAGGUCACUGAAUUUGGCUGUGGCACAAGAUACACUGUCAUGGCCAAAAACUGCUACAAGGACUUCCUGGAGAUCACGGAGAGGGCCAAGAAAGCACAUCUGAAACCAUAUGAAGAGUGAGUCUGGCUUGGGUCCGUACCCCAGGCACAAGAUCAAAGGGAGAAGUGCAAACCCGGGACGGGGGUUUACCAGAUGUCCCCAUCCCAGCACUAGGACUAUUUGUGUGUGAUUUGUCUUAGAAAAGGUGCCUCAUUUGUAGUUUCAGGGCUUCCCCAGUAGGCAGGUGCCCUCUGCUCCCGACCUGUGCUCAGCAUUCCCCAGCAGCUCUACCUGUGGUCUUUGCUGGUUUCCAGGGAGGGGAUGGGAGUAAAAACCAGCAGGGCUACCAUCCUGGCAGUGGCUUAAGGCCCAAGGGUGCUGAGUGGCCUCAGCUUUCUCUUCUGCGAAAUGAGGAGGAUGAUCUUUACCUUUAGAAUAAAUUGUAAGGAAAUAACAUACCAUGUUCAUAUAUUUACUCUUAUAUUUAUGUAUUGUAUUUUAUUCUAUUUAUUAUUAUUCUAUUCUUAAUAAAAGGUCCAUAACUUUGUGACUUC
This 1782-nucleotide small RNA is filed under the name Pongo abelii (Sumatran orangutan). Its description in RNAcentral is "retained intron". The record is from RNAcentral. Lineage: Eukaryota; Metazoa; Chordata; Mammalia; Primates; Hominidae.